RNAcentral lists this ribosomal RNA (253 nucleotides) under uncultured bacterium. RNAcentral's name for it is "partial 16S ribosomal RNA". It matches the Rfam family "Bacterial small subunit ribosomal RNA", at positions 524 to 776 of the family's 1533-position model. The record is from RNAcentral.
UACAGAGGGUGCAAGCGUUAAUCGGAUUUACUGGGCGUAAAGCGUGCGUAGGUGGUUUGUUAAGUCAGGCGUGAAAUCCUCGGGCUCAACCCGAGAACUGCGCUUGAUACUGAUGAACUCGAGUGUGGUAGAGGAUAGUGGAAUUCCCGGUGUAGCGGUGAAAUGCGUAGAUAUCGGGAGGAACAUCAGUGGCGGAGGCGGCUAUCUGGACCAACACUGACACUGAGGUACGAAAGCGUGGGUAGCAAACAGG